RNAcentral lists this ribosomal RNA (253 nucleotides) under uncultured bacterium. RNAcentral describes it as "partial 16S ribosomal RNA". It matches the Rfam family "Bacterial small subunit ribosomal RNA", at positions 524 to 776 of the family's 1533-position model. The record is from RNAcentral.
UACGAACUGUGCAAACGUUAUUCGGAAUCACUGGGCUUAAAGGGUGCGUAGGCGGCUCGUUAGGUAGGGUGUGAAAGCCCCCGGCUCAACCGGGGAAUUGCGCCCUAAACCGGUGGGCUGGAGUGAGAUAGGGGUGUGUGGAACUUCCGGUGGAGCGGUGAAAUGUGUUGAUAUCGGAAGGAACGCCGGUGGCGAAAGCGACACACUGGGUCUCAACUGACGCUGAGGCACGAAAGCCAGGGGAGCAAACGGG